UGAAAAUGAUUGCCAAAUAAACAAGCCCAUAGCAGUAACGUAAAAAAGGCUCUAGUCCAUAGACGGUGUACAGGUGUGAAAUAUGAAAUGGCUUCCAUCCUGAGAUGAGCAGUCUGCCGGCCGGGACAUCAGGAAGAUGCUUCCGUACCAUCUGGCGCCUCAACUGAGGAACAGUCGUGCCUCUCCCAGGGUCACUUGGAAUUCUGAACAUAAGCAGGUGGUUGAUUAUAUAUGGAGGGGAGCAGAGACAUUUGGGCAUAUUGGUCGGCAUCCAGAAUGCCUAAUACAAUGUCUGUCUCAUUAAAUCUGGUGGAACAGAAGCAUAUGACAAUAUGUAGUAAAAGCAAUGAUGUUUAUAAAGGUAUGAUGUCUCCAAAGCGGGGAUCACGGACAUGCUCAGUGUGUGAGGUCUUCAUAAAACCAGCCAACAGUCUAAGAAGGAAUAUUCCAACACAGUGUGUGCCCUCUCUCAUUCCACAGCAAUGCCUGUACGCUCCUAGAAACUGGCAUCAUAUUCACUGUCUUGUAUCAAGUGUGUUACUCUCCAGUGCCCAUUAUGCCAGUUUUAGCAUCAGUAGCACUGUUCUAAUCCAUUCAGCUAACUAAACCAGGCUCCUCUCCAGAUUCCUAAUCCAUCCCUGCCCUGUCAUCCUUUCUACAGAUUCUUGUUUUGUUCAGAGAUAAUAUCCAGCAUCGUGGAGUCUUUUCAGAUUCAUUAUCCUCCGUAUAACUGGAAAGAUUUUGGUUCAUAUACAAACUGUUGCCAAACGCUAAAGUCACCAAUACAUAGAUCUGCACUUAUCCUCAUUUCAUUGAUUAGGAUCUUCAAUUGAUUAGGAUUAACAAAGAUAAAUUGCUAAUGUCUGAUUAGAGAGGCUUAAAGAGUUGAUCUCACUUUAGCCUUUAAAAGAAGCCAUGUAUU
This is a long non-coding RNA of Rana temporaria (common frog), 922 nucleotides long. RefSeq lists it as uncharacterized. The transcript has 3 exons. The record is from RefSeq and is a predicted model, not a curated record. Lineage: Eukaryota; Metazoa; Chordata; Amphibia; Anura; Ranidae.